This 471-nucleotide ribosomal RNA is filed under the name uncultured Acidovorax sp. RNAcentral describes it as "bacterial SSU rRNA". It matches the Rfam family "Bacterial small subunit ribosomal RNA", at positions 907 to 1382 of the family's 1533-position model. Lineage: Bacteria; Pseudomonadati; Pseudomonadota; Betaproteobacteria; Burkholderiales; Comamonadaceae. The record is from RNAcentral.
UGAAUUGACGGGACCCGCACAAGCGGUGGAUGAUGUGGUUUAAUUCGAUGCAACGCGAAAAACCUUACCCACCUUUGACAUGUACGGAAUCCUUUAGAGAUAGAGGAGUGCUCGAAAGAGAGCCGUAACACAGGUGCUGCAUGGCUGUCGUCAGCUCGUGUCGUGAGAUGUUGGGUUAAGUCCCGCAACGAGCGCAACCCUUGCCAUUAGUUGCUACGAAAGGGCACUCUAAUGGGACUGCCGGUGACAAACCGGAGGAAGGUGGGGAUGACGUCAAGUCCUCAUGGCCCUUAUAGGUGGGGCUACACACGUCAUACAAUGGCUGGUACAGAGGGUUGCCAACCCGCGAGGGGGAGCUAAUCCCAUAAAGCCAGUCGUAGUCCGGAUCGCAGUCUGCAACUCGACUACGUGAAGUCGGAAUCGCUAGUAAUCGUGGAUCAGAAUGUCACGGUGAAUACGUUCCCGGGUCUU